RNAcentral lists this ribosomal RNA (449 nucleotides) under uncultured bacterium. RNAcentral describes it as "partial 16S ribosomal RNA". It matches the Rfam family "Bacterial small subunit ribosomal RNA", at positions 29 to 523 of the family's 1533-position model. The record is from RNAcentral.
AGCGAACGCUGGCGGCAGGCCUAACACAUGCAAGUCGAACGGAUCCUUCGGGAUUAGUGGCGGACGGGUGAGUAACACGUGGGAACGUGCCCUUUGGUUCGGAACAACUCAGGGAAACUUGAGCUAAUACCGGAUGGGCCCUUCGGGGGAAAGAUUUAUCGCCAUUGGAGCGGCCCGCGUCUGAUUAGCUAGUUGGCGAGGUAAAGGCUCACCAAGGCGACGACCAGUAGCUGGUCUGAGAGGAUGAUCAGCCACAUUGGGACUGAGACACGGCCCAAGCUCCUACGGGAGGCGGCAGUGGGGAAUCUUGCGCAAUGGGCGAAAGGCUGACGCAGACAUGCCGCGUGAAUGAUGAAGGUCUUAGGAUUGUAAAAUUCUUUCACCGGGGACGAUAAUGACGGUACCCGGAGAAGAAGCCCCGGCUAACUUCGUGCCAGCAGCCGCGGUAA